Molecule: long non-coding RNA, 1624 nt
Organism: Cydia pomonella (codling moth)
Lineage: Eukaryota; Metazoa; Arthropoda; Insecta; Lepidoptera; Tortricidae
Exons: 2
Source: RefSeq, a predicted model, not a curated record
AAUUCUAGACCAAUAGUGGGACCGGAUUUUUGCCCUAUAAGUUUCGAUAAUUCUAAAGAGUGAAAAGUGAUGUUUAUCUGGUAUGGGACAUAUUUUUAAGCAUAUUUGUAAUAUAUGAAGAAAAUUUAGAACGAGCGUUAGAUAUAAAUAAGGUAUUUAUGUAUUUUUAUUGAUGAAUUUUGAAUAUUGAAUUAAAGUACAAAAUUUAAGCAUCGUCUUUUAUAAUAUGUAUGACGCUUUAUGCUAUCAAAUUUUUAGAAAAAAAUUCAACGUGCUACUUUGUCAAACUCAAAUUAGCUUAUUAUUUUGUCAAUAUUGAAUUAAAGUUUGAAAAAUCCACAAUAUCAUAUCUAAAUUCUUAAGUUAAUAGGCAAGGCAAAAAAUUAGAAGAAUAGGAUAUGUGCUUUACAAUUAAUAUGCGUUUUUUGUCCUGUAAGAUCUAAUAUUGAAUUAAAGUCCGUAGAGAUAAGUCUAUUACUAUAAAAUAAUAUAUGCAGCCAUUUUAUGGAAAGGUAGAAAUAUCUGUGUGUAGCUUGCAUUGUAAUAGUAAAAUCAACUUAAAAAGGCGCGAAAUUCAUAACCACGCCGCGCUGGUCCGUCAACAUGUCGGCUCGGCGCGCGGGAGCCUAUCGUAGCCGACCUAGUGAGCGAUAGAUACCUCGCCCCGCCCGCGCUCCCCGCUCAGCUUCGCAAGCGCUGUUUGUCUUUUCUUUCAAAUCAUUCAUUUGUUUGUUUAUCGUGCACAUAACUUAGAUGCGGACAUUACAUGAAUUUAAUUAUAGAAUAAAAGUUAUUAUGACUUCAAAAUGAGUGAAAAAUGUUUGAUAUGUGUACUGUACUGUACUGACUUAGUAACAGAGAAAAAACGAGGAAUUGAGCAGUUAAUAACUGCGAGCAAAUAAUCUCUCUUGGUGAUGGGAAAGUUAAAUAUUUCUACGGGAAGGAGGAACUACGUUUCCAUAAAAAGUGUAGAUUAUACAUUGAGUCGAAGGCUAUACCGGCGUACAAAAGACUAAUGGAGGUGGCAUCAGAGGGCUUACCGCGUAACACGUCGAACGUGGUUCGCGAUAGGCCCUCAAAUGUACAGCCAAGUGACGAUGAUGAAAAUUACAUUUUCAAAACUUUUGUCUUUUGUUACCAUUGUGUUAGCCGCCUGUACUUACUUUCAACAUAAAUAUUAGUAGUUUAUGUUACUGCUACAUAAUAAAAUGCAUUAAAAUACACGAGUGUGGGCUUAGGAAACGAACGAAGUGAGUUUCUUAAAAAGAUCACACGAGUGUUUUAAUGCCUAAUUAUCUUAUACCUUUAAACGAGCAAUUCUUGUAUAUAUAUAUAUUUCCGGGAUCUCGGAAACGGCUCUAACGAUUUUGCUGAAAUUUGGUAUAUGGGGGUUUUGGGGGUAAACAAUCGAUCUAGAUUAGUCUUAUGUUUGGGAAAACGCGUGUUUUCUAGUUUUCAUGCGUUUUUCUUUCGACGCAGAAUAUGGUCGCUAAUUUCGUGUUGCCGGCCACUGUCCGUCUGGUCCAGCGGGUUAAGACGCGGACUGCUAAACGAGUGUUACGGGUUCGAAUCUCGCCUGGUGACUAACUUUUGUUUUUUUUUAUAUGUUCAAUUUUAUAUAUAA